CUACGGGAGGCAGCAGUAAGGAAUAUCGGACAAUGGACGAAAGUCUGAUCCAGCCAUCCCGCGUGCAGGAUGACGGCCCUAUGGGUUGUAAACUGCUUUUAUGAGAGAAGAAACGCCUUGUUUUAUACAGGGUCUGACGGUAUCUCAUGAAUAAGCACCGGCUAACUCCGUGCCAGCAGCAGCGGUAAUACGGAGGGUGCAAGCGUUAUCCGGAAUCACUGGGUUUAAAGGGUGCGUAGGCGGUUAGGUAAGUCAGAGGUGAAAUGCUGUCGCUCAACGAUAGAAUUGCCUUUGAUACUGCUUAACUUGAAUCAGAAUGAGGUUGGCGGAAUGUGACAUGUAGCGGUGAAAUGCAUAGAUAUGUCAUGGAAUACCGAUUGCGAAGGCAGCUGACUGGCACUUGAUUGACGCUGAGGCACGAAAGCGUGGGGAGCGAACAGGAUUAGAUACCCCCGUAGUC
Molecule: ribosomal RNA, 460 nt
Filed under: uncultured bacterium
Lineage: Bacteria
Description: partial 16S ribosomal RNA
Rfam family: Bacterial small subunit ribosomal RNA
Source: RNAcentral